This 8606-nucleotide long non-coding RNA is filed under the name Lactuca sativa (garden lettuce). RNAcentral's name for it is "long non-coding RNA (LSAT_LNC001726)". The stretch from base 30 to 182 matches the Rfam family "U4 spliceosomal RNA". Lineage: Eukaryota; Viridiplantae; Streptophyta; Magnoliopsida; Asterales; Asteraceae. The record is from RNAcentral.
AAAAGAGGCGAAGGGGUAACGGAUUAAGCAUCUUUGCGCUUGGGGCAAUGACGCAGCUAAUGAGGUAAUAACCGAGGCGCGUCAAUUGCUGGUUGAAAACUAUUUCCAAACCCCCUCCUUGGCCUUGGGUCUCCCUUGGCCAUCGAGAAUUUCUGGAAGGACUCCCUUUAUCGGCUAAAGUCCUACAAUUCCCAGUAAAAAAAAUUGAUUCUCUUAAUUUCUCCAUAAACACGGCUAAUUAAGUUAUAAUAUUGUGGUAAUAGGUUAAUUCUGCAUAAGAUAAUAAUAUAUUAUAAUAGCAUUAAUAUUGUAAUAUAAGUUCAUUUUUUUAUAUGUACGUUGUGCAUGUAUAUUAUUAUUGAUUGGAUUCAUUCACCAGAUAAAACAAUAAACAUAACUCCUUUGAGCAAUGCUUUAAAAUCUGGUUCGAAUCGGUCAAACCUAAAAAUCGGGACGAGAGCGGUUUAACAAUGAUCGGUUUUAUGUCGGUUUUUAGACCGAACUGAACCAAACUGUUUCUUUUAAAACCAGGUUGAAGUGGUAUAUUGUAUUUGGAUAGUUGGAUUUCACUUACCUGUUACAAAACAAUUUAUUUCCAAAACAUAAUAAAUAGUUUGAUUGAUCAGGUUAUUAUCCAGAGUGUACACAACUUGAAGGCUGAUGCACACCACCACCAUAUGUAGAAUGGUGGUCGAACCGGAAACGGUUAUCAAAACCGGUUCAACUAAAAAUCGGUUUUUAAAACAUUGUCUUUUAGUUGGAGUAUCUCACUUUAUAAUGAUUAUGUAUCUCGAUUAGAACAAAAAUCGGAAUCAACAUUCAAAAACAAAUUUCCAUUUCUAUUGACAGCCUGAUUAAAAAUAGGAUGCGCGUGUUUGAUCUUAAUACCUCAUUUAUAGGCUUUCAAUCAUCAAAUGUUGGAUUAUCAUUCAUGUUUUGUAUGUUCAAGGCCACCUAUUUGAAGUAGUCGUUCUAUUACAUGAGAGAGGCAUGACUUUCAAUAUUUACCUCUUUUUACCCACUUCUAAUGGAAUUGUAGGGUUUAUUGUUGGACGACAAAAACCAUGUCAUCUGCGACAUAAUCGUUUUGUGUAAUAUGUACCCAAUAAUUUUAAAAAUAUUAUUAUAAGUCUCAUAUUGAAUUGUACGUCAUAUGUACUAAAAUAUAUAUUUUUAGUAUUGAUUGUACCUUUUUAAGUUGUUUUUUUAGACUUAGCAAGUUUCUAUUUUUUCUUGAUUCAAGCUUUGUUGUUCUUUUCUAUCUUGUAUUUUUCAAAGAUAAUGAAUCAUAGUAUCUAAGUUUUGGAUCAUUUACCAAACUUUUGUUUUUUGUGCUUAAAAAGUGUCAUUUAACUAAAAUAAUAUGCAGAAAAACAGGUAAAACAUAACAGAUUUGUAAAAUUGAUAAGUUUUCUUGAAAAUUUUAUUUCAUGGCAACUUGGAAAUUUGAUAUCACAGAUAACAAAGGCAAAAGUAGAAAAAGACUUGUAAAGUUCAGAAAACAUAUUUAUGGUAAAAUCCGAUUUUUUUACAAACUUCAGGGCUUUUGUGUCAAAAGCCCUAAAAACCGUGCUAUUAUUAUAGUGAUAAAGAAAUUGUAACCAAGUCCACAUAAUCGACCUACGACAACAAUUAUUCGACCCAUUACAUGACUUGAGUCCUCAUGUAAGCUUUUCUCCAGCUAAAAUGUGAGAAAUUGGCUUUGGUAACACAAUAUUAUAGUUGCAACCUUCAUUUUACAUUGAUCCAAAGUAGAGUGCCUUUUUGGGGAGCCAAUCCGAUCAUGCUCACUCACUUCCCGACCAGCCUGCCAAUACAUAAAGGUGUGCAUUGGGUCUAGGCUAACCGAUAUGGGCCCGACCCAAAACUAUUUAUAAAAAUCCCAGUCCUCAUUAUAAAUUUUUUGACUAGGACAAUCGAUUAUGCGAGUUUAGAAAGAAAUUGGUUAUUCAAAACCGGUUAAAAUAAUUAAGAAGCCAUUUAGUGUUUUAAUAUUUUACUAAAAGAGUUUUAAAAAUCAAGCCAUAUAAUUUGUUAGGAAGACCAACUUAUAUUGGUUAAGGAUAAUUGGAAUUAGGCUUGGUUAAGGCAUGAGACCGGCUACAUAAGACUUGGUUAAAGUUUUUCGGAUUGGACUUAAGACCUGUUAUAACCGGUUAAAGGCACGGCUGGGCACACUUUUUGUUCACCUUUAGCAACAUAUCACGUGAAAGUUAUCCAUUUUUUGUCUACUGACUUUGACCUUGGUUGGAUGUAGUGCUUGUUGCUUAUAUUUUCAAGAUAGCAUGUCACGUUUUGUUUUUGUUUUUCAAUGACGUGAGCAAACAUAAAAAAGGGCAACUUGAGAUGCAAUGACAUCUUUCAUAUUCUUUUAGGUAGUGUUUGCUAUAUGAGACUUGAUUGGACAAGACUAAACAGAUAGAAACUAGACUCAUUGUUUAUGUAGUGUUUGGUACUUAGAACUUGAUAUAUGAAGAAGUUAAAAUUACCGGAUUGUCUUUUAUAUGAAAUAAUACAAAAUAAUCAAAAUCAUUGCAAAAUUAACAUAUUUUUCACACAAAUUAAUUAAAAAUCAAAAGAUUCAAACACUCCAAUAAAAAGAAAAAACUGCACAAAUGGUCCCUGUGGUUUGCUCAAAAUUGUCACUUUGGUCCAAAAAGGUUUGGACUAAUCCAAAGUUUUCAUUUUAUUGCUUGUUUAGUCAAAUAUGUUUUGAUUCUUUUCAAAAUAACGAAUUUGCCCUGUUAAUAUGAUUUUCUUUUUUCUUAUUUGUUUUUCUGAUUUUAUAUUUAAUAAAAUAAAAAUAAAUCACACACACUCUCUCUCUCUUAUUUGUUUUUAUUUUUGUGAUUUAGAUUUAAAAAAAUAAAAUAUCACACACACACACACGUCAUGCCAAGUUUAACCAAAGCCUUAAAGCGAUACGGUGUAUGAUACACACAUAGAUUGAUCCAUAUUCAACAUCAUCCAUCUUCAACCUUCAACAAACCUAGGGGUGUUCAUUUGGAUGGAUCGGUUUGAUCCGAUCCAAUCAAGUGAAUCCAAUUUGAUUUCGGUUUUCAAAACAUGGAUCCGAAUAGUCCAAUCUAAAUUCAAAUCCGAUCCGAUCCGAUCCAAUUACAAUUCGGUUGGAUCGGUUUUUAUAAUUCGGUUUUCAAAAAACGAAACAUUUUAAAACGAUAUAUAAUUAUAAUAUUACCCAACUUUACAAAAGAACCAAAAACAAAUUAUUUAGUUGCAUUUUGAAAUUUUUAAAAAACUACUAAGAAGAUAUAUUAUAGUUAAAUAUUUUAUACAUAGAAAACUUUUGAGAGAAAAUACAUAUUAAUGUUUUUUUUGUAUCGAGUGUAACGUUUUGAACCUAUUUGAAAAAAUAAGUUACCAAAUUAAUAAAUAACUAUGGAUAUAUAUUAUAAAUAGAUAAAUAAUAAAUGUUUAUUCGGUUUUUUUGGAUUAUUCGGUUCUUAUUUUAUAAACCAAAAUCAAUCCGAAAUCCAAAAUAAUAAUUCGGUUUUGUUAAAAACCAAUCCAAGAAUCCGAAAAUCCGAACCAAAUAGUCCAAUCCAAAUUGUCCAAUUGGAUAAUUCGGUUUUAUCCGAACAGUGAACAGUCCUAAACAAACCUCAUCACCAAAAUCACCUUUAAUCUCAUUCCACCUCACCAUAACUUCAACGCCUCCACCAGAAAUUUCCAGUUGUCAAGAGCCGCUUAGAUUCCACACCCACCUAUCAACGUCGAUUACCUCGAAACAAAAUUUAGCGGCCAUGGCACUUCCUUCACAAACCUCAGAGAAAGUUCACGAUAAGCAAAAUGAAGGGAUUUCAUGGUCUCCCACUAUCUGGAAUCUUUGCAGUGUUGGAGGAAGUCCAGACAAUUCAGGUGAAUACUCAAUUCACGAUAUCUAUUUUCCGUUCCUCUGUAUGAAUGAAUUGAAAUUGCCCUAAUGUUCUUAGGCAGAACUGAUUAGUAGCAUAAAAUUGAAAUCAAACACAUUGUAACUUUGAAAGAAGAUGCUAUAAGCUUAGAGAUUGUGAUUACGAAUUUCAGAUCUUCAUCACUCCGACUAACAGGAUGGAUAAUCGGUCACUUAGCUGUGAGCACACUGGAAGCAUCAUACGCCAUCCGACUCGAGAGAGCAAAUUACUUCGUUAAGCCACAAAUUUUCUCAAAAUCCAUCAUUAUUCCUCCUGAUAUCCACAAGAAUGAUUCGUGUCAAUUAGGGUUGAAGCGACUACUAUCAGAUUUGGGACUCAAGCCUGAAUCAGGACUUGAAAGAUGAAACAACAAAAAAUAGGGAAGAAGAUGAAGAGAUUGAAGGUGAAGAGGAUGAUAACUACAAGAAUUUAAUUGGGAAACUAAGCUUGAUCUCUCAUUCAAUGAUUUAAGUUGUGAAAUUCCCGAUGAAAUUUGGAGUAUGAAGAUGGAAGCGAUUAAUCUCGAAGGGAGCAUGCUCAACUGGAAUUUAAACUCUAAUUUCAGUGAUUUGGAAAACCUUAGGGUUCUUCAAUGAUUUCCAACGAGAGAGAGAGAGAGAGAGAGAGAGAGAGAGAGAGAGGCAGAGAGGGAGAGAGAGAGAGAGAGAGAGAGAGAGAGAGAGAGAUUUUAUUUUUUUUAAAUCUAAAAUCAGAAAAAUAAAAACAAAUAAGAGAGAGAGAUCUAUUUUUAUUUUUUAUUUUUUUUUAUUUUUUAAAUAUAAAAUCAGAAAAACAAAUAAGAAAAAUAGAAAAUCAUAUUAACAGGGCAAAUCCAUCAUUUUGAAAAAAAUCAAAACAGAUUGGACCAAACAAACAACAAAAUAAAAACUUUAGAUCUCUGGUGCUAAUCCAAAAUUUUUUGGACCAAAGUGACAAUUUUUGAGCAAACUACAGGGACCAUUUGUGCAGUUUUGUCCAAUAAAAAUAAAAAGACCAAAUAGCCUAAUUCUAUUAUCACUUUUGAAGAAAUAGUCCAAAAUUAGCCAAAUUUCCAAAAUAGCCAUUGAUUUCGAUUUUGACACUAUGUUAUUUUUUUUACAAUUUAGUCAUUAUGUUUUCUAAUUUUUGCAAUGUUGACCACUUAACUGGUUAACUCAGAGUUACCCCGAUGAUGUGACAUACUAACAUUUCAGUUUUUGGUGAUGUGGCCUGCUGAUGACGACGUUGUUUGGUUAUGUGAUGUUAACAUGGCAUGAUGAGGUAUCAAAAUUUAAAAAGGGACCAAAAGACACUAAGUUUUGUUUUGUUUUUUUUUUUCAAUUUCGACACUCCAUUUUUUUUAUUCCAAACCGAACAUCAUUCUUUCCAAUUAAAUUCAAUCGGCUGCCCUCUAAUCAUCUCAAAAUGAUCACAACAUCAUAACCCAUGAAAACACAAUCAAUAUCAUAACUCUUGGGAUCAAUGAUAUCUUGCAUGGUGAAGUGUGAAGAUGGUGGCAAAAUCCAUGUUCGUGAGCCUUCAGGUUGUGUUGGUUUAGUAGGAGAUCAAGAUAUUCUUAAAUCCGAGAUAACUUGUGAUGAUAAUUUAUCGUUUAAUGAAAGUGUUGAUAACAAACAUACAUAUGAUCAUGAUGGCCAUAUCAAUCAACAAGAUCAAGCCAACGAGACCUUUAAUAUAGUUAUCGAACACCUUGAUCAUCAUAUAGUUGAUCAAGAACAUCAAGAACCAGAAAAUGAACAAGUGGCUCAAGAGGUAGAUGUUGGAUCAGUAGAUGAAAUUGAGAAGCUAAAGAUGAAGAUGUUGAAGAAACCAAAAUGGAAGAACCAGAACAUGUUGAAGCCGAACCAGAAGAUGAAGGACAUGAAUGAACCGAACCAGAAAGCGAAGAAACCAAACCAUGAAGAAACGAAACCAUAUGCACAUGAAGAAACCCAUACAGAAGAGGCAGAACAUGAAGAAACAAAAACAGUUGAGCUAGAAAUCAAAGAGGAUGAUGUAUAGGUACCGGAAAAUGAAGAUUCGACAUCAAAAGUGGUGAUCAAGAACCAAAAAGUUUAUUGAUAUGUGUUUAAAUGGAAAAUGAUCAACACCGAAUAAAAUUGAAAAAAAAUAAUAAUGUUCGAUUUGGAACAAGAAAAAAUGAAAUGUCAAAAUUGAGAAAAAAAAAUGAAAACUUAAUGUCUUUUAUGCCACCUUUUUUUUUUUUUUUUAAUUUUGACCUGUCAUCAAGUCAUGUCAACGCCACAUAAUCAAACAUUGUCAUGUCAGUAUACCACAUCACCAAAGACUAACAAGUCAGAAUGUCACGUCAACGGGUAAGUGGGUUGACCGGUUAAAUAGUCAACAUUGCAAAAAUUAGAAAGCUUAGUAAUUACAUUGAAACAAAACAUAACAGUGUCAAAAUUGAUUUUUGCAAAUACAUACUGACUUUUGUGCAAUUUACCUAGUUUAAACCUGGGAAUUUAAAAAAAAAAAUUGUGAACUUUUUUGUUGUUAAAAUCUUAAAAGAACAUAUCCACAACAAAAUGGAGCUUUAAAUUGAAUAAUCAGAAACUGAGAUAUUCAAGUUCUUAAUUAAGAAUAACUUGGUAAUUUAAUACAUAUGUUACAUUUGUUAACAUUGUUUAUUGCGAUUUUAUUCAAUUUUCUUGCGUAUUCAAACCAGGUCCUAUCAUAUGUAUAAUUCUCUAUAUUUCAUUAUUUUGAAUGAUUUUGGAUCAUCUUCUCUCCUAACUCUUAUUUUUCUUGUGUUUGACCAAUAGUCAAACUAUUUAUAACAGGGAAAUCUUCAGGAAAAGUCCCAUUAUUUUGGAAAAAGUUACAUUUAAGUCCUAAUAUUUUUUUUUGAACAAAAAAACCCAAGAAACCGGAUAAACCUUUAAUCCUUUUUGACCUGUUGAGCAGGUCACCUAUGCCACAUGGCAUGCCAGCUGUACAAGGGUUGAUGUGGAUGCUGAUGUGUGGCAUAGGUGACCUGCUGAACAUGUCAAAAAGGAUUAAAGUGUAAGGUUUAUCCAGUUUCUUGGGUUUUUUUGUUAAAAAAAAAAAAUUUAGGACUUAAAUGUAACUUUUUCCAAAAUAAUAGGACUUUUCUGAAGAUUUCCCUUUAUAAAACUAAUGAAGUUUGCCUAGAAUUACAAGGAUUGAAAGUACAAGGCUAUCAUUGGUUAACAUUAUGUGUGACUUUUAUAUUUGCUAAAAAGUUUACAAAAAAUAAUAAUAAUAAUAAUAAAUCACAGAGGAAAGUUAAGGAAGCUAGAGGCCUGUAUUGCUUUCAGGGUUUGAAUCAAAAAGUGGUGAUUGUGGAUGACAAUGGAUGGGUCUAUGCAUUGGUGCUGUUAUCACACUAUUUCUUGUUUUUUUAAAAUUACUUUAUUUCAAUAAGAAAUUCUCAAAUUUGGGUCAAUUAUUCAACAAAGUUGGGAGACAAAAUUCUCUGAUUUGGGGUCCUUUAAAGACAGAAAAGCAUUUCGACCUGAAAUUUGCAAUAAUGCUAUGAUGGAUGAUGCUUAUGGAAACACAAUCAAGGUCUCAAAUAGUAAAUACAACUUGCAGAUUUGUAGAGGGGAUUUCUAAACAACUAUUGUAAAGCAACCAUCUUAACUUAAAAAUUCUUUUGUAAAGGUUAGCAUUCUUAGGAUUUUAUCGUUUCAUUUAAUAUAUGAACUAUUUCUUUUUCUGUAAUUGAAAUGUUAUUUUUAAUCUUUGCAGGUUAUAAAUUCCAAGGAUCUGUCAUUUGUAAGAUAUUCCAUCAUAUGUACAUCAACAUUUACAUACCUUUCCUUUGGCAAGUAAACAAGGUAUGCACUAACUUGCUUCAAAUUCUACUUAAUCACCAACUAAUUUCGAAUACAGAUGGUUUAUUUUUUAAUUCUACGCACAAUUAGCCUAUUUUCAGAAGGGUUUAAUCAUUACACCCGUUUUUGGCAUGUGGAUAAAACCUACACACAGCUACACAGACAAUUAAGGCAAGAAAAUACUUUGCUCCAUCUCAUAAAAGGGCAUUUUUACAACAUUUGGAUGAUUGCACAAAAGAACAAUCUUGAUAACAGUUGGCACACAAGAGAUUAAGUGACUUUGAGAGGUGUAAGUUGCAGAAACUCAUGAUCGUAUAACAACAGUACAUCAUAAAAACUUACUCUGUGAUAGACAGCGUAUCAUCAAUCAACCGAUACUCGUCAUAAACCCUAAUUUCCCACCAAGCGUAGCCACAGAUUAGAAGAAACAACACGUUCGGACGAUAGUUGGAUCCUUGAAAGAACAUGCAGUUGCCAUUGCUGAAUUGUUUAUGGUGGUCAUUAAAGACGCAGGAAGAAAAAGUAAGAUUUAGGAACGUCCCACAUCGGAGGGAGCAUAUGAAAGGGAAGAGGGGUGGUGUGAUAUAAAAAGAGGCGAAGGGGUAACGGAUUAAGCAUCUUUGCGCUUGGGGCAAUGACGCAGCUAAUGAGGUAAUAACCGAGGCGCGUCAAUUGCUGGUUGAAAACUAUUUCCAAACCCCCUCCUUGGCCUUGGGUCUCCCUUGGCCAUCGAGAAUUUCUGGAAGGGCUCCCUUUAUUGGGUAAGGCCCUACAAUUUCUAGUAUAAAAAUUUUGAUCAUAGCUUUGUAGAAAAAACUGUAUGAAUUAGUCAAAGUCUUUUUACUGUUUUUUUUUUUAUCAAUUUUCAAGGUUUUUCGUAUCAAAAAUGUUUUUU